This 479-nucleotide ribosomal RNA is filed under the name uncultured bacterium. RNAcentral describes it as "bacterial SSU rRNA". It matches the Rfam family "Bacterial small subunit ribosomal RNA", at positions 28 to 507 of the family's 1533-position model. The record is from RNAcentral.
GAUGAACGCUGGCGGCCGUUGCUUAACACAUGCAAGUCGAACGGAGUUUAAGAAGGAAGCUUGCUUUCAUUUUAAACUUAGUGGCGGACGGGUGAGUAACGCGUGAGGAACCUGCCCUUCAGUGGGGAACAACAACUAGAAAUGGUUGCUAAUACCGCAUGAUGUAACGAGACCGCAUGAUCUUGUUACCAAAGGAGCAAUCCGCUCGAAGAUGGGCUCGCGUCUGAUUAGCUAGUUGGUGAGGUAACGGCUCACCAAGUCGACGAUCAGUAGCCGGACUGAGAGGUUGAACGGCCACAUUGGAACUGAGAUACGGUCCAGACUCCUACGGGAGGCAGCAGUGGGGAAUAUUGCACAAUGGGGGAAACCCUGAUGCAGCAACGCCGCGUGAAGGAUGAAGGUUUUCGGAUCGUAAACUUCUAUCAACAGGGAAGAAACAAAUGACGGUACCUGAAUAAGAAGCCCCGGCUAACUACGUG